GACGAACGCUGGCGGCGUGCUUAACACAUGCAAGUCGAACGGAAAGGCCCUGCUUUUGUGGGGUGCUCGAGUGGCGAACGGGUGAGUAACACGUGAGUAACCUGCCCUUGACUUUGGGAUAACUUCAGGAAACUGGGGCUAAUACCGGAUAGGAGCUCCUGCUGCAUGGUGGGGGUUGGAAAGUUUCGGCGGUUGGGGAUGGACGCGCAGGUUAUCGGCUUGUUGGUGGGGUAGUGGCAUACCAAGGCUUUGACGGGUAGGCGGCCUGAGAGGGUGACCGGCCACAAUAGUACUGAGAUACGGCCCAGACUCCUACGGUAGGCAGCAGUGGGGAAUAUUGCACAAUGGGCGGAAGCCUGAUGCAGCAACCCCGCGUGCGGGAUGACGGCCUUCGGGUUGUAAACCGCUUUCGCCUGUGACGAAGCGUUAGUGACGGUAAUGGGUAAAAAAGCACCGGCUAACUACGUG
RNAcentral lists this ribosomal RNA (468 nucleotides) under uncultured bacterium. Its description in RNAcentral is "partial 16S ribosomal RNA". It matches the Rfam family "Bacterial small subunit ribosomal RNA", at positions 28 to 507 of the family's 1533-position model. The record is from RNAcentral.